This 1495-nucleotide long non-coding RNA is filed under the name Oryctolagus cuniculus (rabbit). RNAcentral's name for it is "lncRNA (ENSOCUG00000033145.1)". Lineage: Eukaryota; Metazoa; Chordata; Mammalia; Lagomorpha; Leporidae. The record is from RNAcentral.
CAAUCCUCUGGUUUAUUACCAAGUGGCUGCAAUAGCCAGGGCUCAACCAGGCCAAGUCCAGAGUCCAGAACUCAGUAUGGGUCUCUCACCUGAGUGACAGGGGCCCAAGCACUUGGGCCAUCUUCUGCUGCCUCUCUGAAUGCAUUAGUAGGAAGUUGGACUGGAGGUGGAGCAAGACUGUACUUGAACGGGCACUCUGAUAUGGAACGUGGGCAUCCCCAGUGGUGGCUUAACCUGCGGGGCCACAGCACUUGACCUUGUGCUUUGGUUUUAUUUUUGCUUCACUUUUAUUCAUGCUUCACUACUUCAACAACAUCUCUUUUUUUUUUUUUUUUUUUGACAGGCAGAGUGGACAGUGAGAGAGAGAGACAGAGAGAAAGGUCUUCCUUUGCCGUUGGUUCACCUUCCAAUGGCCGCCGCGGCCGGCGCACCAUGCUGAUCUGCUGGCAGGAGCCAGGUACUUAACUGGUCUCCCAUGGAGUGCAGGGCCCAAGUACUUGGCCAUCCUCCACUGCACUCCCUGGCCACAGCAGAGAGCUGGCCUGGAAGAGGGGCAACCGGGACAGAAUCUGGCGCCCCAACCGGGACUAGAACCCGGUGUGCCGGCACUGCAAGGCGGAGGAUUAGCCUAGUGAGGUGCAGCGCCGGCCUCCAACAACAUCUUCACGGUGGAUCAUAUGGACAGAUGUGAUAGAACAGAACCAACGCGUAUCACUCGUACGGUUCACUGGAGAAUGCCUGGAUGGUUGGGAAGCAGUGAUGGUGCCUGCUUUGUCCUUCAUUUGAUCCAGGACUUCAACAGCCAUGGAGAACCAAGUCAGCCAAAUGCUUUAGGUCAGUCCCUUUGUGCCACAAAGCCCCACGUAGUCUCUCUCUCUUUUUAAGAUUUAUUUAUUUAUUUGAAAGUCAGAGUUACACAGAGGGAGAUGGAGAGGCAGAGAGAGAGGUCUUCCAUCGAUGGUUUACUCCCCAAUUGACCAAAACAGCUAGAGCUGUGCCGAUCUGAAGCCCAGAGCCAGGAGCUUCUUCUGGGUCUCCCAUGUGGGUGCAGGGACCCAAGGACUUGGGCCAUCUACUGCUGCUUUCCCAGGCCAUAGCAGAGAGCUGGAUCAGAAGUGGAGCAGCCAGGACUUGAACUGGCACCCAUAUGGGAUGCCGGCACUGCAAGCAGCGGCUUUACCUGCUACACCACAGCGCUGGCCCCACGUAGUCUCUUUUAAAUCACUGGCUUCCCACUGCUGAUGAGAAUAACUGAAGUUGUGUUUACAUUUUAUAGUCAAAGUCACUAGUGAAGCAGAUGUCUAUGAACACAUGUCACAUUAUUUUGGUAUAAUACUAAUUCUUUAGAAAAAUUUUGCUUUUGAUGUUUGCUUAAGAUAAAUUGGGCCAGAAUACUUUGGGUCUUGAAGAUAUUUGUUCUUUAACACAUAAAUUAUACUCACCAUCUAUUCAGUCUUAGAGGUAGAAUGGCAUAAUAAAGUAAAACAUACAUUCA